UGGGGUGACAGCGUGCCUUUUGAAGAAUGAGCCUGCGAGUUAGUGAUACGUGGCGAGGUUAACCCGUGUGGGGAAGCCGUAGCGAAAGCGAGUCUGAAUAGGGCGAUUGAGUCGCGUGUCCUAGACCCGAAGCGGAGUGAUCUACCCAUGGCCAGGUUGAAGCGCGUGUAAGAGCGCGUGGAGGACCGAACCCACUUCAGUUGAAAAUGGAGGGGAUGAGCUGUGGGUAGGGGUGAAAGGCCAAUCAAACUCCGUGAUAGCUGGUUCUCCCCGAAAUGCAUUUAGGUGCAGCGUCACGUGUUUCUUCCCGGAGGUAGAGCUACUGGAUGGACGAUGGGCCCUACAAGGUUACUGACUUCAGCCAAACUCCGAAUGCCGGGAAGUGAGAGCGUGGCAGUGAGACUGUGGG
Molecule: ribosomal RNA, 409 nt
Filed under: Acinetobacter baumannii
Lineage: Bacteria; Pseudomonadati; Pseudomonadota; Gammaproteobacteria; Moraxellales; Moraxellaceae
Description: partial 23S ribosomal RNA
Rfam family: Bacterial large subunit ribosomal RNA
Source: RNAcentral